GAAUAUGGGGGGCCCAUCCUCCAAGGCUAAAUACUCCUGACUGACCGAUAGUGAACCAGUACCGUGAGGGAAAGGCGAAAAGAACCCCGGCGAGGGGAGUGAAAAAGAACCUGAAACCGUGUACGUACAAGCAGUGGGAGCACGCUUAGGCGUGUGACUGCGUACCUUUUGUAUAAUGGGUCAGCGACUUAUAUUCUGUAGCAAGGUUAACCGAAUAGGGGAGCCGAAGGGAAACCGAGUCUUAACUGGGCGUUAAGUUGCAGGGUAUAGACCCGAAACCCGGUGAUCUAGCCAUGGGCAGGUUGAAGGUUGGGUAACACUAACUGGAGGACCGAACCGACUAAUGUUGAAAAAUUAGCGGAUGACUUGUGGCUGGGGGUGAAAGGCCAAUCAAACCGGGAGAUAGCUGGUUCUCCCCGAAAGCUAUUUAGGUAGCGCCUCGUGAAUUCAUCUCCGGGGGUAGAGCACUGUUUCGGCAAGGGGGUCAUCCCGACUUACCAACCCGAUGCAAACUGCGAAUACCGGAGAAUGUUAUCACGGGAGACACACGGCGGGUGCUAACGUCCGUCGUGAAGAGGGAAACAACCCAGACCGCCAGCUAAGGUCCCAAAGUCAUGGUUAAGUGGGAAACGAUGUGGGAAGGCCCAGACAGCCAGGAUGUUGGCUUAGAAGCAGCCAUCAUUUAAAGAAAGCGUAAUAGCUCACUGGUCGAGUCGGCCUGCGCGGAAGAUGUAACGGGGCUAAACCAUGCACCGAAGCUGCGGCAGCGACGCUUAUGCGUUGUUGGGUAGGGGAGCGUUCUGUAAGCCUGCGAAGGUGUGCUGUGAGGCAUGCUGGAGGUAUCAGAAGUGCGAAUGCUGACAUAAGUAACGAUAAAGCGGGUGAAAAGCCCGCUCGCCGGAAGACCAAGGGUUCCUGUCCAACGUUAAUCGGGGCAGGGUGAGUCGACCCCUAAGGCGAGGCCGAAAGGCGUAGUCGAUGGGAAACAGGUUAAUAUUCCUGUACUUGGUGUUACUGCGAAGGGGGGACGGAGAAGGCUAUGUUGGCCGGGCGACGGUUGUCCCGGUUUAAGCGUGUAGGCUGGUUUUCCAGGCAAAUCCGGAAAAUCAAGGCUGAGGCGUGAUGACGAGGCACUACGGUGCUGAAGCAACAAAUGCCCUGCUUCCAGGAAAAGCCUCUAAGCAUCAGGUAACAUCAAAUCGUACCCCAAACCGACACAGGUGGUCAGGUAGAGAAUACCAAGGCGCUUGAGAGAACUCGGGUGAAGGAACUAGGCAAAAUGGUGCCGUAACUUCGGGAGAAGGCACGCUGAUAUGUAGGUGAAGUCCCUUGCGGAUGGAGCUGAAAUCAGUCGAAGAUACCAGCUGGCUGCAACUGUUUAUUAAAAACACAGCACUGUGCAAACACGAAAGUGGACGUAUACGGUGUGACGCCUGCCCGGUGCCGGAAGGUUAAUUGAUGGGGUCAGCGCAAGCGAAGCUCUUGAUCGAAGCCCCGGUAAACGGCGGCCGUAACUAUAACGGUCCUAAGGUAGCGAAAUUCCUUGUCGGGUAAGUUCCGACCUGCACGAAUGGCGUAAUGAUGGCCAGGCUGUCUCCACCCGAGACUCAGUGAAAUUGAACUCGCUGUGAAGAUGCAGUGUACCCGCGGCAAGACGGAAAGACCCCGUGAACCUUUACUAUAGCUUGACACUGAACAUUGAGCCUUGAUGUGUAGGAUAGGUGGGAGGCUUUGAAGUGUGGACGCCAGUCUGCAUGGAGCCGGCCUUGAAAUACCACCCUUUAAUGUUUGAUGUUCUAACGUGGACCCGUGAUCCGGGUUGCGGACAGUGUCUGGUGGGUAGUUUGACUGGGGCGGUCUCCUCCUAAAGAGUAACGGAGGAGCACGAAGGUUGGCUAAUCCUGGUCGGACAUCAGGAGGUUAGUGCAAUGGCAUAAGCCAGCUUGACUGCGAGCGUGACGGCGCGAGCAGGUGCGAAAGCAGGUCAUAGUGAUCCGGUGGUUCUGAAUGGAAGGGCCAUCGCUCAACGGAUAAAAGGUACUCCGGGGAUAACAGGCUGAUACCGCCCAAGAGUUCAUAUCGACGGCGGUGUUUGGCACCUCGAUGUCGGCUCAUCACAUCCUGGGGCUGAAGUAGGUCCCAAGGGUAUGGCUGUUCGCCAUUUAAAGUGGUACGCGAGCUGGGUUUAGAACGUCGUGAGACAGUUCGGUCCCUAUCUGCCGUGGGCGCUGGAGAACUGAGGGGGGCUGCUCCUAGUACGAGAGGACCGGAGUGGACGCAUCACUGGUGUUCGGGUUGUCAUGCCAAUGGCACUGCCCGGUAGCUAAAUGCGGAAGAGAUAAGUGCUGAAAGCAUCUAAGCACGAAACUUGCCCCGAGAUGAGUUCUCCCUGACCCUUUAAGGGUCCUGAAGGAACGUUGAAGACGACGACGUUGAUAGGCCGGGUGUGUAAGCGCAGCGAUGCGUUGAGCUAACCGGUACUAAUGAACCGUGAGG
Molecule: ribosomal RNA, 2496 nt
Filed under: Shigella sonnei
Lineage: Bacteria; Pseudomonadati; Pseudomonadota; Gammaproteobacteria; Enterobacterales; Enterobacteriaceae
Description: partial 23S ribosomal RNA
Rfam family: Bacterial large subunit ribosomal RNA
Source: RNAcentral